This 378-nucleotide ribosomal RNA is filed under the name uncultured bacterium. RNAcentral's name for it is "bacterial SSU rRNA". It matches the Rfam family "Bacterial small subunit ribosomal RNA", at positions 28 to 403 of the family's 1533-position model. The record is from RNAcentral.
GACGAACGCUGGCGGCGUGCUUAACACAUGCAAGUCGAACGCUGAAACAGGAGCUUGCUUCUGCGGAUGAGUGGCGAACGGGUGAGUAACACGUGAGCAACCUGCCCAUCACUCUGGGAUAAGCGCUGGAAACGGUGUCUAAUACUGGAUACGAGCAAUACCGGCAUCGGUAGUUGUUGGAAAGAUUUAUCGGUGAUGGAUGGGCUCGCGGCCUAUCAGCUUGAUGGUGGGGUAAUGGCUCACCAUGGCGACGACGGGUAGCCGGCCUGAGAGGGUGACCGGCCACACUGGGACUGAGACACGGCCCAGACUCCUACGGGAGGCAGCAGUGGGGAAUAUUGCACAAUGGGCGCAAGCCUGAUGCAGCAACGCCGCGUG